This 439-nucleotide ribosomal RNA is filed under the name uncultured bacterium. RNAcentral describes it as "partial 16S ribosomal RNA". It matches the Rfam family "Bacterial small subunit ribosomal RNA", at positions 339 to 795 of the family's 1533-position model. The record is from RNAcentral.
CUACGGGUCGCAGCAGUGAGGAAUAUUGCACAAUGGGGGGAACCCUGAUGCAGCAACGCCGCGUGGAGGAUGACGCAUUUCGGUGUGUAAACUCCUCUUAUAUGUCAAGAAAAUGACGGUAGCAUAUGAAUAAGCACCGGCUAACUCCGUGCCAGCAGCCGCGGUAAUACGGAGGGUGCAAGCGUUACUCGGAAUCACUGGGCGUAAAGGACGCGUAGGCGGGUUGGAAAGUCAGGUGUGAAAUCCUACAGCAUAACUGUAGAACUGCACUUGAAACUUCUAAUCUAGAGUAUGGGAGGGGGAGAUGGAAUUAGUGGUGUAGGGGUAAGAUCCGUAGAUAUCACUAGGAAUACCUAAAGCGAAGGCGAUCUCCUGGAACAUUACUGACGCUAAGGCGUGAAAGCGUGGGGAGCAAACAGGAUUAGAUACCCGGGUAGUC